Long non-coding RNA from Pangasianodon hypophthalmus (striped catfish), 393 nucleotides. RefSeq lists it as uncharacterized. The transcript is spliced from 3 exons. NCBI's taxonomy places the organism in Eukaryota, Metazoa, Chordata, Actinopteri, Siluriformes, Pangasiidae. The record is from RefSeq and is a predicted model, not a curated record.
UGUAAAGACACAGCAGGAAAGGACGGGACGAACAGGUCCUCUGUGUCUUUCAGCCAGUCAGAAGGUGGAUGCAGCAAAAAGUCUACAGCAAAUCCAGACGUUACCCUGUAAAGUGUUUAGCAACGUUUCCACUCGACGUGGCAUCUCCGAGGUCUUCAGCUGCUGGAGAGCUGCCAUGGCAACCAGGUCAGCCAAGAGGAGGAGCAAAAGAACACAGCCGCUGAUCAAAGCUGUGCCGUCACUAUGACAACCAAAAAGCAAGACCAAGAAACAAGCUUGCCUGCCAGUGACCAUUUUGCUUCGGGCUUUGUUGAUGUUCCUGCAGAACAGUGGUGAGUUGAGAAUGGAGCUGAGAGAGAGCUGCGACAGAUGAUAAGCCCAACGGACUCUAAA